RNAcentral lists this ribosomal RNA (440 nucleotides) under uncultured bacterium. RNAcentral's name for it is "partial 16S ribosomal RNA". It matches the Rfam family "Bacterial small subunit ribosomal RNA", at positions 338 to 795 of the family's 1533-position model. The record is from RNAcentral.
CCUACGGGAGGCAGCAGUGGGGGAUAUUGCACAAUGGGGGAAACCCUGAUGCAGCGACGCCGCGUGUAGGAAGACGGUCCUCUGGAUUGUAAACUACUGUCCCCAGGGACGAAGAUGACGGUACCUGGGGAGGAAGCUCCGGCUAACUACGUGCCAGCAGCCGCGGUAAUACGUAGGGAGCGAGCGUUGUCCGGAAUUACUGGGUGUAAAGGGAGCGGAGGCGGGGAUGCAAGUUGGGUGUUAAAUCUACCGGCUCAACUGGUAGUCGAACUCAAAACUGCAGCUCUUGAGUGAAGUAGAGGCAGGCGGAAUUCCUGGGGUAGCGGUGAAAGGCGUAGAUAUGAGGAGGAACACCAGUGGCGAAGGCGGCCUGCUGGGCUUUUACUGACGCUGAGGCUCGAAAGUGUGGGGAGCAAACAGGAUUAGAUACCCCUGUAGUC